RNAcentral lists this ribosomal RNA (472 nucleotides) under uncultured bacterium. Its description in RNAcentral is "partial 16S ribosomal RNA". It matches the Rfam family "Bacterial small subunit ribosomal RNA", at positions 28 to 507 of the family's 1533-position model. The record is from RNAcentral.
GACGAACGCUGGCGGCGUGCUUAACACAUGCAAGUCGGACGCUGAAGCUUGGUGCUUGCACUGGGUGGAUGAGUGGCGAACGGGUGAGUAAUACGUGAGUAACCUGCCCUUGACUCUGGGAUAAGCCUGGGAAACUGGGUCUAAUACUGGAUAUGACAUGCCACUGCAUGGUGGUGUGUGGAAAGGGUUUUACUGGUUUUGGAUGGGCUCACGGCCUAUCAGCUUGUUGGUGGGGUAAUGGCCUACCAAGGCGACGACGGGUAGCCGGCCUGAGAGGGUGACCGGCCACACUGGGACUGAGACACGGCCCAGACUCCUACGGGAGGCAGCAGUGGGGAAUAUUGCACAAUGGGCGGAAGCCUGAUGCAGCGACGCCGCGUGAGGGAUGACGGCCUUCGGGUUGUAAACCUCUUUCAGCACGGAAGAAGCGAGAGUGACGGUACGUGCAGAAGAAGCGCCGGCUAACUACGUG